CAUAGUGAAUGCUCAAUAGCAUUUAUUCACAACAAUGAACAUAUUUGCUGGGCAUGGUGGUUCACAUGUGUAAUCCCAGCACUCAGCGGGGCUGAGGCAGGACGAUUGCUGGGAGUUCGAGGCCAGCCUGAACUGCAGAGUGAGACCCUGUCACAAAGCCCAGUAAUUAACAAGCUACAUAUGAUCCUUGUCUGUGGCUUUGAGUGGACCACAGCUGUAACUAUGAGCCAACCUUACACAUGGGAUCCAGGACCUGACUGCCUGCGACCUGUAACUGGGUCUCACUUCCCACCUGUGUGGCUUCAGACAAGGGGCUGGCCCUGUGUCUCAACAUCCUCAUCUGUAAAAUGGCAUUAAAUGGCAAUGCCUGGCACACUGUUUGAGCUCAUAAAUGGGAUUGAAUCCAAGACCUCACAAAUGCCAGGCAAGUGCUCUACCAUUGAGCUAUGUCCCCAGCCCUUCCCUUGUUGUCAGAGGAUCAAGAGCAGGAACAAGUGAGUGAAUGUGAGAGAUUCCUUAUUGUAUGGCAGUGCUAAUAAAUAGUUGUCAUUUGAUUUCCAUGAAGAAAAUAUUGAUACUCAGGAUCUGCCUCUUCCUCAUUCCCUGGACCAACUAAGACAGAAGAUGGAAACAAUUUUUGAAAAGAAACAGAGGUGCUGCAUUCACCCGGAGAAUACAGGUUUCUUCUAAACGAAUAUGCACUGCUUGUGUGGUAUCUAUUUUGUGCAGAUUAGAGAGAUACUUAUCUUUACAAAUUUGCAGUCUAGUGAGGGGAAACAUACAAAGUCUGGUUAUAAUGCAAGCUAAUAUACCAUUGCCUCCUACAACGGGGUAGUACUGAUUAUUUGUGCUGAGUUCCAAGAGGGAGCACAGCACAGGUUUGAGAACUCUGGGGAAGCUUCAAGGAAGAGAACUCAGGCUAUCUUGAAAAAUGAGUGACUUUCUUUUUUUCUGGUACCAGGGAUUGAACUCAGGUCUUUGCGCUUGCCAGGCAGGCGUGGUGCCACUGAGCACUGUUCCUGGUGCAUCUUCAUAGCAGCCAUUUGUAGUGAACACCCAACGCCCCAGAGUGGCUGCCUCCUCACCCAGGACCUGGCCUUGCUCCUCUACCGCGGGACAUGCAUU
Long non-coding RNA from Heterocephalus glaber (naked mole-rat), 1125 nucleotides. The record is from Ensembl. Lineage: Eukaryota; Metazoa; Chordata; Mammalia; Rodentia; Bathyergidae.